RNAcentral lists this ribosomal RNA (253 nucleotides) under uncultured prokaryote. Its description in RNAcentral is "partial 16S ribosomal RNA". It matches the Rfam family "Bacterial small subunit ribosomal RNA", at positions 524 to 776 of the family's 1533-position model. The record is from RNAcentral.
UACGUAGGGCGCGAGCGUUGUCCGGAAUCAUUGGGCGUAAAGAGCUCGUAGGCGGCCAGUUGCGUCCGCUGUGAAAUCCCGGGGCUCAACCCCGGGCGUGCAGUGGAUACGGGCUGGCUAGAGGCAGGCAGGGGAGAACGGAAUUCCCGGUGUAGCGGUGGAAUGCGCAGAUAUCGGGAGGAACACCGGUGGCGAAGGCGACUAACUGGCCCAACAUUGACGCUGAGACCCGAAAGCAUGGGGAUCAAACAGG